Molecule: ribosomal RNA, 494 nt
Filed under: uncultured bacterium
Lineage: Bacteria
Description: partial 16S ribosomal RNA
Rfam family: Bacterial small subunit ribosomal RNA
Source: RNAcentral
GACGAACGCUGGCGGCGUGCUUAACACAUGCAAGUCGAACGGAAAGGCCUGCUUUCCCUUGUGGAUUGCGGGUACUCGAGUGGCGAACGGGUGAGUAACACGUGAGUGAUCUUCCCCCAACUUUGGUAUAAGCCUGGGAAACUGGGUCUAAUUCCCGAUAGGACUGCAGGGUGGUGCCUGUGGUGGAAAACGAUUUUCUAGUGGUUGGGGAUGAGCUCGCGGCCUAUCAGCUUGUUGGUGGGGUAAUGGCCUACCAAGGCGGCGACGGGUAGCCGGCCUGGGGGGGUGGACGGGCACAUUGGGACUGAGACACGGCCCAGAAUCCUACGGGAGGAAGCAGUGGGGAGUAAUGAACAAUGGGCGGAAGCCUGAGGCAGCGACGCUGCGUGGGGGAUGACGGCCUUCGGGUUGUAACCUCCUUUCGACCGCGAGGAAGCCACCUGGUUGGAAGGGUGGUGACGGUAGUGGUAGAAGAAGCACCGGCUAACUACGUG